UUUUUUUUUUUUUGCUAAUAAAAGGCAUGGGGUUCAUUGUACUCAUUUUGUCUUCUCACCCGACCCUUCUUCUGGCACUGGCACCUACUGAGCUUGGUUGGAGAGUUCCUUAGAAUGUCCCUUGACUAAUAAGGUGGAGGCUUGGCCAUGCCUCAUAAGCUAUAGAAGGGAUGAUGGACAAGGCUUUUAAAAUCUGCCCGGCUCCUGUUUCCUAUGCCAUCCGUCAUGAAUUGUGAGCGAGUUGUUUCUGUUUGUAAAAUAGGAGCAGAGAUGAGGUCGUGACAGACGCAGCUUUGGUAAAAGGCGCUUCAGCUUUCUGAUGGACGAGAACAUCUCGUGGCUUCUCUUUGCUGGGGGCAGAUUCCUUCAACACUUUUUUUUUUCCUCUCCCCAUUUUGCUUUAAGCUGAAUCUGCCAAAGGAAAUGCCUGCGAUUCAAAGUCCAAGUUAACAACAAAUGAAUGCUUUUAAGUGGCGUGUCAUUGUGGUUUUUUUCUUCAGAUUAUUUGGGGAAACUUAAUUUUAUUAACUAGGAGAGAACUAAAUGGAGGAAAUAGCCCACAAAUAAUGUUCCCUGACCCAGGUCCCAGGAUUCUAGUGCAUGUUGGUGCCCACUUUAAUGAACUGUUUAUAUUUGACAAGCACUCUUGUGUUGGAGGCAAAAUAAGUGCCUGUUCCCCCCAAAUGUCCACAUCCUAAUCGCGCAGAGUCUGUGAAUGUUGUUUGACAUGACAAGAGGCACUUUGCAGAUAUGAUUAAGGGCACAGACCUGGAGGUGGAGAGGUCUUCUUUGGAUUAUCUGAGUGGAUCCAACCUACUCACCUGAGUCCUUAAAAUCGGAGGACUUUUCCUGGCUGUGGUGAGAAAGAAAGAAAGAAUGGCCCGAGAAGGAUCUCAUGCCCCACCACUGGUCCUGAGAUACAGGGGCUGUGUGCCAGGAGCUGAGUUCUGCCAACAGCCCCACUCAGUGAGAGAACGACCUUCUCUGAGAGCCUCCAGAAAGGAGGCUAACUCUGCCAAUGUUUUGAUUUUAGCCUGGUGAGACCCGAAUUCUGACCAACAGAACUGUAAGGUAAUGCAGGUGCAUCGCAUUAAACCACAGAGUUUGAGGUUCUUUGUUAUAGCAGCAACAGCAAACUAAUACAUCUCAGUUUCUCUGGUGUAGAGUUUUCCUAAUAACGAGGAACCAAUCAGGAAGGGCUGAAUCAUUUCCUUUCAAAAUCAAAAGCUCUGGCUCCAGUGUUUCAGUGAAUUCCAGCUUGUGGUCCUGCGUUGCUUGGAUGUCGGAAGACUUGGGCGAUCAACAGCUAAGAGGAUGUGAAUGAAUAUUAAUGGAGCAUCCUCCAAGUUCCAGGGAUACUGAUUAUCCUGCUUUACCGUUAAUCCUACUAACCUGUGAGGUCAAUCAUAUCAUAUUUUACAGACCAGAAACUGUUUCUGAGAGGUUAACAGCAACUUUUCUGAGCUUAAGGAAGUAGCAAGUGACAGCGAAGUUGUGAACCUCCAGAAAAUACGUUCUUUCUAUUUUCCGCCCUAUGCUUGCCUCCUUCUUAGCAAGCCUCGGGAGUCAGGAAAUCAAGUGUCGUGGCUGAGUCUCCCAUCACAGUAAACAAGAGAAUAGAAUCACUUGUUUCUUUGGUUGAGAAAACAUUGCUGAAGAUGAGGGACAUUGCCCCUGACCUUUUUUUUUAAACCCACAGUGGGACAGGGUCGGGGGGGGGGGUGUCCCCAGACAGACUGGCUUAUCUCUUAGUCUCUACUCAAGUUCUCAUCUGUGUACUUGACUUUGCUCAUUGCUCAUCAGCAAGGCCUGUGGCUCACAGAAAACGCACCCGGUUUCUUAGCCAGGGAAUCAGGUUGAUAUUUAAGACGAAAGAGGAUUGCAAAAAGAAAAGACUGUUUAUUUUAAAGGGUCACUUGGGACUGGCUUUGCAGAUCCUACCGCUUUAAGCCAGAUUUUGGUUCGAUUGCUGGCAGUGCUGGUUGGAUUAGACGUGUGCAACAUGCUCCUGAGACCCCAAGAUCCUCUGCCAGCCAUUAAACUGUCCUGCAGGUCGUAGGGGGGAACGGUGACUAUCAGCUCACGAAGCCCAGCCCCACCCCUGUGCUGGGAGACGGCUUCCUUACACCCAGCCUCUAGACAGGAUUUGUUUAAUGGGUGGUUUUAAAGCACUUCCUCUGCUGCAUUAAGUCACGAGGGUCAAAAAUACUACCUGCUUCCGAGGAGCAUCUAGUUAGAGGGAGGGAGGGGGCUGUUUGAAAAAGACCAAUAGGGAGUUCCUGUCGUGGUGCAGUGGAAACGAAUUCAACUAGGAACCAUGAGGUUGCGGGUUCGAUCCCUGGCCUCGCUUAGUGGGUUAAGGAUCCAGCGUUGCUGUGAGCUGUGGUGGAGGUCGCAGAUUCAGCUUGGAUCUGGCGUUGCUGUGGCUCUGGUGUAGGCCGGUGGCAACAGCUCCCAAUAGACCCCUAGCCUGAGGACCUCCAUUUGCCAUGCGUGUGGCCCUAAAAAGACAAAAAAAAGGAACCAACAGGUUUCAGUAAACAGAUAGUCCUGUGCUCCACAGGUGAGGAGGAGACUCGAAGGUCACCCAGCGCAUGCCCAGGUUUGGGGGAGGCAGGCAAAGUCGGUGGCCUGUGUUUGCUCAUGGGUUGGUCCAGGAGGAUGCCUACAGCAGCACCCUGCAAGGCUUGAGAAUCAGGUCCUUAGACCCUGAGGGCUACAGCUCAGUGUGUGCGCCCGGCUAGACCCGGCCACUGAGAUCUGGGGGGUGAAACUGGCACUUCUGAUCCCCCACCGCCACCCCAGGAUGUCGGAUGCCAGCUUAGACCAUGAGCUCUUCUGAAUUGCCUUCUCAGCAGCUGGAGCAUGCUUCUAGAAACUUCUCUUCUGUCAGCUGCUGGAAAUCUGUCCUAGAUGCUCCUUCCCCUAGCUGCUGGCUGGGGCCAGUGCCCAACCUCUCUGUUUUCUGUUGGAUUGAUGUCUUUGUGUUAUUUCCUGCAGUUUGUAAGUUGCUCUUGAGACUCCAAGCUCUCCUCUCCUAUCCCGUUCUGCCUCUGGGUCAGCUUCGGUCCCCCCAUCCUCCCAUCCCAGGCUUCUCGCCGCCUCGCUGGUGGCUCAGUACCAUUCAAGUCCCAGAGCGUCUCAUUUGGGAGUUGGAACAGCAACAGAUCGGACCCUGGAUUCAGCCCUGUGGGGCCUCCUUGAUUUAUACCCAUCGGGUUUAUAACUCCCCUUCGAGGCUUUAACUUCGACCCUAGAGCCCGGCCAACACAAUGCCCAGCUCUGCAACUUGGCACAGAAACUGCAGCCUAGGAUAGAAGAAAAUCCUUACUGAGAUUAAAAAAAAAAAAAGAAAAAGAAAAAGA
Molecule: long non-coding RNA, 3365 nt
Filed under: Sus scrofa (pig)
Lineage: Eukaryota; Metazoa; Chordata; Mammalia; Artiodactyla; Suidae
Description: lncRNA (ENSSSCG00005021813.1)
Source: RNAcentral